Molecule: ribosomal RNA, 267 nt
Filed under: uncultured bacterium
Lineage: Bacteria
Description: partial 16S ribosomal RNA
Rfam family: Bacterial small subunit ribosomal RNA
Source: RNAcentral
UACGUAGGGGGCGAGCGUUGUCCGGAUUUAUUGGGCGUAAAGAGCGUGUAGGCGGCCUGGCAGGUCUGCUGUGAAAACUCGAGGCUCAACCUCGAGAUGUCGGCGGAAACCGUCUGGCUAGAGUCCGGAAGAGGAGAGUGGAAUUCCUGGUGUAGCGGUGAAAUGCGCAGAUAUCAGGAGGAACACCGGUGGCGAAGGCGGGAUCCUGGGCCAGUACUGACGCUGAGGAGCGAAAGCGUGGGGAGCAAGCAGGAGUAAGAACCCUGA